UGAUGAUCUCGAUAAGGACAUAGGGUGUAUCAUCAGCAAGUUUGCAGAUGAUACCAAGUUAAGCAGGAGUGUUGACUCCCAGGAGGAUAGGGAAGCCCUACAGAGGGACCUAGAUAGAUUGGAUCACUGGGCCAAGAUCAAUGGCAUGAGUUUCAACAAGGGCAAGUGCCAGGUUCUGCACUUGGGCCACAACAACCCCAUGCAGCGCUACAGGCUGGGGGAAGUGUGGCUGGAAAGCUGCCUGGAGGAAAGAGACCUGGGGGUUCUAAUUGACAAACGGCUGAAUAUGAGCCGGCAGUGUGCCCAGGUGGCCAAGAAAGCCAAUGGCAUUCUGGCUCGUAUCAAGAAUAGUGUGACCAGCAGAAGUAGGGAGGUGAUUAUGCCCCUGUACUCGGCACUGGUGAGGCCACACCUCGAGUAUUGUGUCCAGUUUUGGGCACCUCAAUACAAGAGAGAUAUCGAGGUGCUGGAGCGAGUGCAGAGGAGGGCAACGAAACUAGUGAAGGGCCUAGAAGACAAAUCAUACGAAGAGCGGCUGAAGGAGCUGGGGCUGUUCAGUAUGAGGAAGAGGAGGCUGAGGGGAGACCUCAUCACUCUCUACAACUACUUGAAAGGACACUGUAGAGAGGUUGGUGCUGGUCUCUUCUCACAGGUAAUUAACAAUAGAACGAGAGGGAACGGCUUCAAGCUCCAACAGGGUAGGUUUAGAUUGAACAUUAGGAAGGAAUUCUUCACAGAGAGAGUGGUUGGGCAUUGGAAUAGGCUGCCCAGGGAGGUGGUUGAGUCACCGUCCCUGGCUGUGUUUAAGGGACGUUUAGAUGCGGUACUGAGGGAUAUGGUGUAGGGGAGGACUUUGUAGAGUAGGGUAGAUGGUUGGACUCGAUGAUCCCAAGGGUCUCUUCCAACCUCAAUGAUUCUAUGAUUCUAUGAUUCUAUGAUUCUAUGAUGCUUUACGAUAUACCAGCUAUCCAGGUACAGCAGUGCCUUCCUCUCAGCUUCUUGGUGCCUGCAAUACUUGAAGA
Molecule: long non-coding RNA, 1022 nt
Filed under: Calidris pugnax (ruff)
Lineage: Eukaryota; Metazoa; Chordata; Aves; Charadriiformes; Scolopacidae
Description: lncRNA (ENSCPUG00000017817.1)
Source: RNAcentral